UUCCACACUGUAAACUAGAGUUACUGAGGUCAGUCUUACUGGGUAUUCCAUACUGUAAAUUGUGGGUAGUGAGGUGAGUAUUACUGGGUAUUUCACACUGUACGCUGGAGAUAAUAAGGUGGAACAUAGCUAGUGAUUUCAAAAUAAAGCAGGAGUAUCAAAGUCUAUAGGUUGACUUAAAAAAUAACAUUAGACUCACUACAGUAAGUGGAAUGUCGAAAGGAAGAUUGCAUUGGAGGUUAAGGAUGACAUUAAAAGUUUCUUCCAAUAUUUUAACUCCAAAAGAACUCUAAAAGCUGAAAUCACUCAUCUGCAGGAUAGUAAGAGCCUUAUAAUUGAAAAUUAAAAUUUAUAUAGUAAAUGAGUUUAAUGAUUAUUUUACACGGGUGUUGACAGUAGAGGACAUGCUUAACUUACCACCAUUUAGUACAAAUACAGUGUCGUAUAUAAACAAUAUACAGUCCCUCCACAAUUAUUGGCCCCUUGUAAAGAUUUGUAAAAAGGGUUAGAAAAAAAUCCACCUUUUGGCGAAGCAGCUUCAUCUCACACUGAAAAAAUGAGAAAAAUUCAACCUUUCAUUGAAAUAAAUUUAUUCAAAGAAAAACAAAUCCUUCAUCAAGAAAUAAUAAUUUUCAAGAAAAACACAUGUGCCACGAUUAUUGGCAGCCCUGCUUUUAAUACUCUGUACAGCCUCCCUUUGCCAGUAUAACAGCACUGAGUCUCCUAUGACAUUUUAUAAGGUUGGAGAAUACAGAGCAGGGCAUCUGAGACCAUUCCUCUUUACAGAAUCUCUCCAGAUCACCCAGGGUCCUCGGCCCUCUCUUGUGCAUCUCCUCUUCAGCUCAGCCCACAGGUUUUCAGUGGGGUUCAGGUCAGGGGACUGAGAUGGCCAUGGCAGAAGCUUGAUUCUGCGGUCAGCUGACCAUUUUAUUGUUUAUUUGGACAUGUGCUUAGGAUCACCGUCCUGCUGGAAGAUCCAAUGAAGGCCCAGUUUUUGUUUCCUGGCAGCAGCAGCCAAAUUUUGAUAUAAAAUGUCCUGGUAUCUCAUGGACCCCAUAGUGCCAUGUACCCUAACAAGGUUUCCAGGGUUUUUGGAGGAAAAUCAGGAACCUCCACCAUAUCUUACAGUUGGGAUAAGGUUCAUUUCAUUAUAACCAUCCUUCUUUUUACGCUAAAUCCACCUUUAAUGUUUAUUGCCACAAAAGCAUUUUUGUUUAAUCAGGUAGUUGAAUUUGAUUCCAGUCAAUGUUGUAUAAUGUUUUGAAAACUCCUGGCACUAACAUUUUAAGUAACUGACAGAAAAAGCUUCUUUCUGUCAUACCUUUCAAAACGUCCAUACCUCAAUCCCCUCAUAAGUAUGUCUGCUAGGUGGAGUCGAAGGUGCAGUAUAAUCCUGUUAUAAUGGACUCGCUUGUAACGGAAUAUCGUCUAUAACAGACCAGGACUGCCGGUUGUGCACCUUUAAUUACAUGCAGAAAAAGCAUCGGAUAUAGCGGACUCGCAUAUAAUGCAGUGUGUGUGAGAGUGUCUGUGGCAGGGUACGCGUGUGUGAGAGUGUCUGUGGCAGGGUACAUGUGUGUGAGAGUGUCUGUGACAGGGUACGUAUGUGUGAGAGUGUCUGUGACAGGGUACGUGUGUGUGAGAGUGUCUGUGACAGGGUAUGUGUGUGUUAGAGUGUCUGUGACAGGGUACGCGUGUGUGAGAGUGUCUGUGGCAGGGUACGUGUGUGUGAGCGUGUCUGUGACAGUGUACGCGUGUGUGAGAGUGUCUGCGGCAGGAUAUGUGUGUGAGUGUCUGUGACGGUAAGUGUGUGUGAGAGUGUCUGUGACAGUGUACGCGUGUGUGAGAGUGUCUGCGGCAGGAUACGUGUGUGUGAGAGUGUCUGUGGCAGGGUACACGUGUAUGAGAGUGUCUGCGGCAGGAUACGCGUCUAUGAGAGUGUCUGCGGCAGGAUAUGUGUGUGAGUGUCUGUGACAGUGUACGUGUGUGCGAGAGUGUCUUUGACAGGAUACGUGUGUGUGAGAGUGUCUGUGGCAGGAUACGCGUCUAUGAGAGUGUAUGCGGCAGGAUAUGUGUGUGAGUGUCUGUGACAGUGUACGUGUGUGCGAGAGUGUCUGCGGCAGGAUACGUGUGUGUGAGAGUGUCUGCGGCAGGAUACGCGUCUAUGCGAGUGUCUGCGGCAGGAUAUGUGUGUGAGUGUCUGUGACAGUGUACGUGUGUGCGAGAGUGUCUGCGGCAGGAUACGUGUGUGCGAGAGUGUCUGUGGCAGGGUACGUGUGUAUGAGAGUGUCUGUGACAGGGUACGUGUGUAUGAGAGUGUCUGUGGCAGGGUACAUGUGUGUGAGAGUGUCUGUGACAGGGUAUGUGUGUGUUAGAGUGUCUGUGACAGGGUACGCGUGUGUGAGAGUGUCUGUGGCAGGGUACGUGUGUGUGAGCGUGUCUGUGACAGUGUACGCGUGUGUGAGAGUGUCUGCGGCAGGAUAUGUGUGUGAGUGUCUGUGACGGUAAGUGUGUGUGAGAGUGUCUGUGACAGUGUACGCGUGUGUGAGAGUGUCUGUGACAGUGUACGCGUGUGUGAGAGUGUCUGUGACAGUGUACGUGUGUGCGAGAGUGUCUGCGGCAGGAUACGUGUGUGUGAGAGUGUCUGCGGCAGGAUACGCGUCUAUGAGAGUGUCUGCGGCAGGAUAUGUGUGUGAGUGUCUGUGACAGUGUACGUGUGUGCGAGAGUGUCUGCGGCAGGAUACGUGUGUGCGAGAGUGUCUGUGGCAGGGUACGUGUGUGUGAGAGUGUCUGCGGCAGGAUACGUGUGUGUGAGAGUGUCUGUGGCAGGGUACAUGUGUGUGAGAGUGUCUGUGGCAGGGUACGCGUGUGUGAGUGUCUGCGAUAGGAUACGUGUGUGUGAGAGUGUCUGCGGCAGGAUAUGUGUGUGAGUGUCUGUGACGGUAAGUGUGUGUGAGAGUGUCUGUGACAGUGUACGCGUGUGUGAGAGUGUCUGUGACAGUGUACGCGUGUGUGAGAGUGUCUGUGACAGUGUACGUGUGUGCGAGAGUGUCUGCGGCAGGAUACGUGUGUGUGAGAGUGUCUGCGGCAGGAUACGCGUCUAUGAGAGUGUCUGCGGCAGGAUAUGUGUGUGCGAGAGUGUCUGUGGCAGGGUACGUGUGUGUGAGAGUGUCUGCGGCAGGAUACGUGUGUGUGAGAGUGUCUGUGGCAGGGUACGUGUGUGUGAGAGUGUCUGCGGCAGGAUACGUGUGUGUGAGAGUGUCUGUGGCAGGGUACGUGUGUGUGAGAGUGUCUGUGGCAGGGUACGUGUGUGUGAGAGUGUCUGAGGCAGGGUACGCGUGUGUGAGUGUCUGCGAUAGGAUACGUGUGUGUGAGAGUGUCUGUGACAGGGUACAUGUGUGUGAGAGUGUCUGUGGCAGGGUACGUGUGUGUGACAGUGUCUGUGACAGUGUAUGUGUCUGUGAGAGUGUCUGCGGCAGGGUACGUGUGUGUGAGAGUGUCUGCGGCAGGGUACGUGUCUGUGAGAGUGUCUGUGACUGGGUAUCUGUCUGUGAGAGUGUCUGCGUCACCCCACCCCCAGUGCACUAGGUGACCUGCCCCACCCAGAGGCACAGGAGAAAAGAACCACUAGCCCAAAGUAGAGGCUAGUUGAAGUGGCAGGAAUGGGGGGGCGAAUGAAGUCAGUAUUUAAUGUGAGGAGUCGUAGAGGGGAGAGGAAAAGAAAAGGAGAUAAAUGCAAAAAAGUAAAAAACUAAGGAUUCUAUUUAUAUAUGAUGAUUGUGGAUGAUUGGAGCCGUAAUUGUCAAAAAGAAAUUAGUAAAUAAAAAAUUAUCACACAUAUACACUCCUCAAAAAAAUUAAAGGAACACUUUGAAAACACAUCAGAUAUCAAUGGGGGAAAAAAUCAUGCUGGAUAUCUAUACUGAUGUAGACUGGGUAAUGUGUUAGGAACGAAAGGAUGCCGCAUCGUUUGAUGUAAAUGAAAUUAUCAACCUACAGAGGGCUGAAUUCAAAGACACCCCGAAAAUCAAAGUGAAAAAUGAUGCGGCAGGCUAGUCCAUUUUGUUGAAAUUUCAUUACAGUAACUCAGAAUCAUACUCAGUAGUUUGUAUGGUCCCCACGUGGUUGUAUGCAUGCCUGACAAUGUCGGGGCAUGGUCCUAAUGAGACCAUGGAUGAUGUCCUGGGGGAUCUCCUCUCAGAUCUGGACCAGGGUAUCACUGAGCUUCUGGACAGUCUGAGGUGCAACCUGGUGGCAUCGAAUGGACGAAACAUAAUGUCCGUGGGGGGCAGUCAAUGGUAUCAAUUCCUUCAUCCUCCAGGAACUGCCUAUAUGCUCUUGCCACAUUGUCGUGCACCAGGAGGAACCCAGGACCCACUGCACCAGCAUAGGGUCUGACAAUGGGUUUAAGGAUUUUAUCCUGAUACCUAAUGGCAGUCAAGGUGCCGUUGUCUAGCCUGUAGAGGACUGUGCGUCCCUCCAUGGAUAUGCCUCCCCAGACCAUCACUGACCCACCACCAAACCGGUCAUGCUGAACAAUGCUGCAGGCAGCAUAACGUUCUCCAUGGCUUCUCCAGACCCUUUCACGUCUGUCACAUGUGCUGAGGGUGAACCUGCUCUCAUCUGUGAAAAGCACAGGGCACCAGUAGCAGACCUGCAAAUUCUGGUAAUCUAUGGCAAAUGCCAAUCGAGCUCCAUGGUGCUGGGCAGUGAGCACAGGGCCCACUAGAGGACGUUGGGCCCUCAAGCCACCCUCAUGAAGUCUGUCUCUGACCAAACAAUCAGAAACAUUCACACCAGUGGCCUGAUGGAGGUCAUUUUGUAGGGCUCCAGCAGUGUUCAUCCUGUUCCUCCUUGCACAAAGGAGCAGAUACCGGUCCUGCUGAUGGGUUAAGGACCUUCUAUGGCCCUGUUCAGCUCUCCUUGAAUAGCUGCCUGUCUCCUGGAAUCUCCUCCAUGCCCUUGAGAUUGUGCUGGGAGACACAGCAAACCUUCUGGCAAUGGCACGUAUUGAUGCGCCAUCCUGGAGGAGUUGGACUACCUGUGCAACCUCUGUAGGGUCCAGGUAUCGCCUCAUGCUACCAGUAGUGACACUGACCGUCGCUAAAUGCAAAACUAGUGAAAAAACGGUCAGAAAAGAUGAGGAGGGAAAAAUGCCAGUGGCCCCCACCUGUUAAACCAUUCCUGGUUUGGGGGUCGUCUCAUUGUUGCCCCUCUAGUUCACCUGUUGAUAAUUUCAUUAACACUAAAGCGGCUGAAACUGAUUAACAACCCCCUCCGCUACUUAACUGACCUGAUCAAUAUCCCAGAAGUUUAAAAAGUGUUCCUUCAAUUUUUUUGAGCAGUGUAUAUUAAUACAUAGAUAUGAAUGUCCAUACAUACACAGACACACUUUCAUACAUAUCUGUAAUGAUUGAAACAUACAAUACAUGAAUUAAACAGUAAUAAUAAUAAUUAAUAAAAAUAACUGCAAAAAAGUAAGGGGGCGGUGGGCGUUGAGGUAGCUUUUAUUCACAAAAUAGUUUGCUGCAAACAUACAUCCAUCCAUCCAUUUUCCAAACCGCUUAUCCUACUGGGUCGCAGGGGGUCCUAUCCCGGAAGCAAUAGGCAAAAGGUAGGGAACAACCCAGGAGGGGGGCCAGCCCAUCGCAGGGCACAUUCAUAUACCAGUUGGGCAAUUUAGCAACUCCAAUUAGCCUCAGCAUGUUUUUGGACUGUGGGGGAAACCGGAGUACCCGGAGGAAACCCCACGACGACAUGGGGAGAACAUGCAAACUCCACACACAUGUGACCCAGGUGGAGACUUGAACCCGGGUCCCAGAGGUGUUAGGCAAUAGUCCUAACCACUGCACCACCAUGCCGCCCCCAGCAAACAUACAUCCAUCCAUCCAUUUUCCAAACCGCUUAUCCUACUGGGUCGCGGGGGGUCCGGAGCCUAUCCCAGAAGCAAUGGGCACGAGGCAGGGAACAACCCAGGAUGGGGGGCCAGCCCAUCGCAGGGCACACUCACACACCAGUCACUCACACAUGCACGCUUACGGGCAAUUUAGUAACUCCAAUUAGCCUCAGCAUGUUUUUGGACUGUGGGGGGAAACCGGAGUACCCGGAGGAAACCCCACGACGACAUGGAGAGAACAUGCAAACUCCACACACUUGUGACCCAGGUGGAGAUUUGAACCCGGGUCCCAGAGGUGUGAGGCAACAGUGCUAACCACUGCACCACCAUGCCGCCCCCCAGCAAACAUACAAACAACCAGAAUUCUAGAAAAGUACUUUAUAUUUGAAUGAAAUAACAAAUAAAACACUUUCAAGUCACAUGAGCCUAUAUUUUAUUCACAACAGAACAUAGAUAAUAUUACAAAUGUCCAAAGGCCGAAGACCUGUAUUGGAUGCCCGUGGUCUUCGGGCCCUCAGACGACUCUGCAUCACUCAUCGGCAUGAUUGUGUCAGUGACAUUACUAAAUGGGCCCAGGAAUACUUCCAGAAAGCACAGUCGGUAAACACAAUCCGCCGUGCCAUCUGCAGAUGCCAGCUAAAGCUCUAUCAUGCAAAAAGGAAGCCAUAACUGAACCUGGUCCAGAAGCGCCGUCGUGUCCUGUGGGCCAAGACUCAUGUGAAAUGGACUGUUUCAGAGUGGGAAAGUGUUCUAUGGUCAGACGAGUCCAAAUGUGACAUUCUUGUUGAUAAUGAAGGGCGCCGUGUCCUCUGGGCUAAAGAGGAGGGAGACCUUCCAGCGUGUUAUCAGCGUUCAGUUCAAAAGCCAGCAUCUCUGAUGGUAUGAGGGUGCAUGAGUGCAUACGGUAUGGGCAGCUUGCAUGUUUUGGAAGGAACUAUGAAUGCUGAAAGGUAUAUAAAGGUUUUAGAGCAACACAUGCUCCCCUCCAGAGGACGUCUGUUUCAGGGAAGGCCUUGUGUAUUUCAGCAGGACAAUGCAAAACCACAUACUGCAGCUAUUACAAGCACAUGGCUUCGUCGGAGAAGAGUCCGGGUGCUGAAUUGGCCUGUCUGCAGUCCAGAUCUUUCACCUAUAGAGAACAUACAGUAAUUACCUGUGACACCCAUGGUGCACUGUGAGCAGGUAUACAGGCCAACAGAGCCUGCAGAUAAUUAUCUGUGACACCCAUUGUACACUGUGAGCAGGUAUACAGGCCAACAGAGCAUGCAGAUAAUUAUCUGUGACACCCAUGGUGCACUGUGAGCAGGUAUACAGGCCAACAGAGCAUGCAGAUAAUUACCUGUGACACCCAUUGUACACUGUGAGCAGGUAUACAGGCCCACAGAGCAUGCAGAUAAUUAUCUGUGACACCCAAGGUGCACUGUGAGCAGGUAUACAGGCCCACAGAGCAUGCAGAUAAUUAUCUGUGACACCCAAGGUGCACUGUGAGCAGGUAUACAGGCCCACAGAGCAUGCAGAUAAUUAUCUGUGACACCCAUGGUGCACUGUGAGCAGGUAUACAGGCCAACAGAGCAUGCAGAUAAUUACCUGUGACACCCAUUGUACACUGUGAGCAGGUAUACAGGCCCACAGAGUAUGCAGAUAAUUAUCUGUGACACCCCUUGUACACUGUGAGCAGGUAUCAGUACUGACUACUUUUGAUAUUGAGUCACAUGUUUUAUGUGAAUUACUUUGUACUGAACUGAAGGCCAGUAUUUGUCACUGUGAAUAUGUUGUUGCAGACGUCCAUCCAGAAAUCAGAGCUGGGGGAAAAGAUAAGGUCCUUAUUCCAAUUAAUUUUUGGUACAAAUAUCAAUGUGUCUGUCGCAGAUGGAGGAUUAUAUAUUCUAGAGGUUUCUUUUUAUUUUUAAGUUGCAGAAUGUUGUCUCAUCUGAGGAGGAUUCAGUGUAUUAUGUCUGUGGUUCAUUUUGGUUUUGAUGCUGGAUUCAGUUAGUAAAUAUUAGAAAAAUUGCUUAUUCUCAACUCGUAUUUAUGGAUUAAGUCUUCGAAUGUCAUGAAAUGACUGUUACUGAAAAGGAGGUGGAGAUGUGUAAUCCCUUUCUGUCCCCGUGAGUGAUAGUGAAUAGUGAUAUUGUGAAGUAGGAAGUCCAGAUCAUUCCAGAUUGGCGUGUAUUUACAGGGUCUGAGAGUACAGUUAGUGAUUUUAAUGGCUUUCCUCUGUGCUGUCAGUGCUGUGGAAAUGGCAGCACUGUGUUGUUAAAGCAGUUUUGUUUCUUUAAUGAAAUUUUGAGUAAGUCUGCAUGUCUGAGAUUUUUACAGUACAGCUGCUCCUGCUGUAACCAUGAGCUGCUGUUACUGCUGUAGUGUGACCAUUUAGUUAAGUCUUGCAGUUGAUUUGCUAAGUAAUAAUUAAGAAAAAUGAGCUUGUAAUCCAACUUGAGAUUUACUUUUCUGUAAUGUGGAAUGUUUGAUUUUGAGUUUUUGUUUUUCCAGCAAAAAUGUGACAUUAAUGAGUUUGAAAGAAUUUUUCUGAAUUUAUUCUGGAUGAGUAAUUUUAUUUUUAUUGAUUGAAGUGGGAGACUCAUCUAUUGUUUUGAAUAAGGGGGUGUAGUUGAGAGUAACCAAGUCAGACAGCCUGUGGGAGAUGUAGAUACCCAAGUACCGGAUAUUUCCAGUGUGAAAUGGACCAUCCUGAUCGGCUGAAUCCCAGGCAUCUUCAGACAGUGAGAAUAUUAUGGGUUUUUUUCCAGUUUAUUGUGUAGUUUGAUAGAUUUGAAAAGGUAUUAAUAAAAUUAAAAUUUCAUAUUUUGAGGGUUUCAUAAAAACAGCAAGAUAUCAUCUGCAUAGAGAUUAAUUUUGUGUUGUUAUUAGUAUGAAUUCCAUUUAUUUCACUGUUCUGUCAUAUUGCUGCCACAAUUGUUUCUAUGAAGAUGGCAAACAGUGAAGGAGAGAGUGGGCAUGCAGGCCGUCUUCCCCGUCGGAGUGUGAAUG
This is a long non-coding RNA of Brienomyrus brachyistius, 8887 nucleotides long. RefSeq lists it as uncharacterized. NCBI's taxonomy places the organism in Eukaryota, Metazoa, Chordata, Actinopteri, Osteoglossiformes, Mormyridae. The record is from RefSeq and is a predicted model, not a curated record. The transcript is spliced from 3 exons.